RNAcentral lists this ribosomal RNA (466 nucleotides) under uncultured bacterium. RNAcentral describes it as "partial 16S ribosomal RNA". It matches the Rfam family "Bacterial small subunit ribosomal RNA", at positions 28 to 507 of the family's 1533-position model. The record is from RNAcentral.
GAUGAACGCUGGCGGCGUGCUUAACACAUGCGAGUCGAACGGAAAGGCUCCUGCUUGCAGGGGUACUCGAGUGGCGAACGGGUGAGUAACACGUGGGUGAUCUGCCCUGCACUUCGGGAUAAGCCUGGGAAACUGGGUCUAAUACCGGAUAGGACGAUGGUUUGGAUGCCAUUGUGGAAAGUUUUUCGGUGUGGGUUGAGCUCGCGGCCUAUCAGCUUGUUGGUGGGGUAAUGGCCUACCAAGGCGUCGACGGGUAGCCGGCCUGAGAGGGUGUACGGCCACAUUGGGACUGAGAUACGGCCCAGACUCCGACGGGAGGCAGCAGUGGGGAAUAUUGCACAAGGGGCGCAAGCCUGAUGCAGCGACGCCGCGUGGGGGAUGACGGCCUUCGGGUUGUAAACUCCUUUCGCUAGGGACGAAGCGUUUUGUGACGGUACCUGGAGAAGAAGCACCGGCUAACUACGUG